GAUGAACGCUGGCGGCGUGCCUAAUACAUGCAAGUCGAGCGAACAGACGAGGAGCUUGCUCCUCUGACGUUAGCGGCGGACGGGUGAGUAACACGUGGAUAACCUACCUAUAAGAGGGGGAUAACUUCGGGAAACCGGAGCUAAUACCGGAUAAUAUAUUGAACCGCAUGGUUCAAUAGUGAAAGACGGUUUUGCUGUCACUUAUAGAUGGAUCCGCGCCGCAUUAGCUAGUUGGUAAGGUAACGGCUUACCAAGGCAACGAUGCGUCGCCGACCGGAGAGGGUGAUCGGCCACACUGGAACUGAGACACGGUCCAGACUCCUACGGGAGGCAGCAGUAGGGAAUCUUCCGCAAUGGGCGAAAGCUUGACGGAGCAACGCCGCGUGAGUGAUGAAGGUCUUCGGAUCGUAAAACUCUGUUAUUAGGGAAGAACAAAUGUGUAAGUAACUAUGCACGUCUUGACGGUACCUAAUCAGAAAGCCACGGCUAACUACGUG
RNAcentral lists this ribosomal RNA (497 nucleotides) under uncultured bacterium. RNAcentral's name for it is "partial 16S ribosomal RNA". It matches the Rfam family "Bacterial small subunit ribosomal RNA", at positions 28 to 507 of the family's 1533-position model. The record is from RNAcentral.